UUUCCGUAGGUGAACCUGCGGAAGGAUCAUUAUUGUAUAACCGAGGUGCGAGGGCUGUCGCUGACCCGAAAGGUCGUGCACGCCCGAGUGCCCUCACACACAUCCAUCUCACCCCUAUGUGCACCACCGCGUGGGUCCCCCUUUGGCUUGUUCGGAGGGGGGCUUACGUUUUCACACAAACUUUGUAUGCAGUGUAGAAUGUAUUUUUUGUUUUUGCGAUCACGCAAUCAAUACAACUUUCAACAACGGAUCUCUUGGCUCUCGCAUCGAUGAGCAGC
Molecule: unclassified non-coding RNA, 278 nt
Filed under: plant metagenome
Description: partial contains small subunit ribosomal RNA, internal transcribed spacer 1, and 5.8S ribosomal RNA
Source: RNAcentral